RNAcentral lists this ribosomal RNA (468 nucleotides) under uncultured bacterium. RNAcentral's name for it is "partial 16S ribosomal RNA". It matches the Rfam family "Bacterial small subunit ribosomal RNA", at positions 28 to 507 of the family's 1533-position model. The record is from RNAcentral.
GACGAACGCUGGCGGCGUGCUUAACACAUGCAAGUCGAACGGAAAGGCCCUGCUUUUGUGGGUUGCUCGAGUGGCGAACGGGUGAGUAACACGUUAGUAACCUGCCCUUGACUUUGGGAUAACUUCAGGAAACUGGGGCUAAUACCGGAUAGGAGCUCCUGCUGCAUGGUGGGGGUUGGAAAGUUUCGGCGGUUGGGGAUGGACUCGCGGCUUAUCAGCUUGUUGGUGGGGUAGUGGCUUACCAAGGCUUUGACGGGUAGCCGGCCUGAGAGGGUGACCGGCCACAUUGGGACUGAGAUACGGCCCAGACUCCUACGGGAGGAAGAAGUGGGGAAUAUUGCACAAUGGGCGGAAGCCUGAUGCAGCAACGCCGCGUGCGGGAUGACGGCCUUCGGGUUGUAAACCGCUUUCGCCUGUGACGAAGCGUGAGUGACGGUAAUGGGUAAAGAAGCACCGGCUAACUACGUG